Molecule: ribosomal RNA, 844 nt
Filed under: uncultured bacterium
Lineage: Bacteria
Description: bacterial SSU rRNA
Rfam family: Bacterial small subunit ribosomal RNA
Source: RNAcentral
AGAGUUUGAUCCUGGCUCAGGACGAACGCUGGCGGCGUGCCUAAUACAUGCAAGUCGAGCGAGCUUGCCUAGAUGAUUUUAGUGCUUGCACUAAAUGAAACUAGAUACAAGCGAGCGGCGGACGGGUGAGUAACACGUGGGUAACCUGCCCAAGAGACUGGGAUAACACCUGGAAACAGAUGCUAAUACCGGAUAACAACACUAGACGCAUGUCUAGAGUUUGAAAGAUGGUUCUGCUAUCACUCUUGGAUGGACCUGCGGUGCAUUAGCUAGUUGGUAAGGUAACGGCUUACCAAGGCAAUGAUGCAUAGCCGAGUUGAGAGACUGAUCGGCCACAUUGGGACUGAGACACGGCCCAAACUCCUACGGGAGGCAGCAGUAGGGAAUCUUCCACAAUGGACGAAAGUCUGAUGGAGCAACGCCGCGUGAGUGAAGAAGGGUUUCGGCUCGUAAAGCUCUGUUGGUAGUGAAGAAAGAUAGAGGUAGUAACUGGCCUUUAUUUGACGGUAAUUACUUAGAAAGUCACGGCUUACUACGUGCCAGCAGCCGCGGUAAUACGUAGGUGGCAAGCGUUGUCCGGAUUUAUUGGGCGUAAAGCGAGUGCAGGCGGUUCAAUAAGUCUGAUGUGAAAGCCUUCGGCUCAACCGGAGAAUUGCAUCAGAAACUGUUGAACUUGAGUGCAGAAGAGGAGAGUGGAACUCCAUGUGUAGCGGUGGAAUGCGUAGAUAUAUGGAAGAACACCAGUGGCGAAGGCGGCUCUCUGGUCUGCAACUGACGCUGAGGCUCGAAAGCAUGGGUAGCGAACAGGAUUAGAUACCCUGGUAGUCCAUGCCGUAAACGAUGA